Molecule: ribosomal RNA, 393 nt
Filed under: uncultured bacterium
Lineage: Bacteria
Description: bacterial SSU rRNA
Rfam family: Bacterial small subunit ribosomal RNA
Source: RNAcentral
GACGAACGCUGGCGGCGUGCUUAACACAUGCAAGUCGAGCGGUAAGGCCCUUUCGGGGGUACACGAGCGGCGAACGGGUGAGUAACACGUGGGUGACCUGCCCUUAGCUCUGGGAUAAGCCUGGGAAACUGGGUCUAAUACCGGAUAUGACCUCAUGACUCAUGUUGUGGGGUGGAAAGCCUUGUGCGGCUAGGGAUGGGCCCGCGGCCUAUCAGCUUGUUGGCGGGGUAAUUGCCUACCAAGGCGACGACGGGUAGCCGGCCUGAGAGGGCGACCGGCCGCACUGGGACUGAGACACGGCCCAGACUCCUACGGGAGGCAGCAGUGGGGAAUCUUGCGCAAUGGGCGAAAGCCUGACGCAGCGACGCCGCGUGAGGGAUGACGGCCUCGGUU